UACGUAGGGUGCGAGCGUUAAUCGGAAUUACUGGGCGUAAAGCGUGCGCAGGCGGUUCGUUGUGUCGGCGGUGAAAGCCCCGGGCUCAACCUGGGAAUGGCAGUGGAAACUAGGGGACUGGAAUCUGGCAGAGGGGGGUGGAAUGCCGCGUGUAGCAGUGAAAUGCGUAGAGAUGCGGCGGAACACCGAUGGCGAAGGCAGCCCCCUGGGCUGAGAUUGACGCUCAGGCACGAAAGCGUGGGGAGCAAACAGG
RNAcentral lists this ribosomal RNA (253 nucleotides) under uncultured bacterium. RNAcentral's name for it is "partial 16S ribosomal RNA". It matches the Rfam family "Bacterial small subunit ribosomal RNA", at positions 524 to 776 of the family's 1533-position model. The record is from RNAcentral.